CUCCGGCGGGUCGCGCGCGCGGGCUGGGGGCCGAUCCCGGUCCCCGCAGGCGAGGCAGCCCGCUUCGCAGCCGCUCCUUGGCGCCCUAAAACAAGUAGCCCCAACGUGAGAGAAACAAAAGGUCCCACUCAAAAUUGGCAGUCCUUUGGGUUACUUGGUAAAUGGAUCAGAGCAGGACCACAAUGUGCUACACGUUGCCUCUGAAAUUCAUACUCCUACAAGUGUGCUUCCUAAUGGUCCUAUUGCUACGAUGUCAUCAUUGAAGAAGCAGGCAUCUUGUAUGAGUGACCUCACUGCCCAGUGUAACUGGUUGUAGAGAAGUCUCAGUGGAAGGCUGGCCAGACCACCAGCCAGCAAUGGUGGUGCCUGUGGUUGGGCUCCAGUAUCCAGAACUAUGAAGGAAAAAGCAUAACUUUACAGUGGAGAAAUUUGUCAGACAGCAUUUUAACCAACGAUCAAAGUGAACAUCAUCAGUAUUUGAGGCAGGCUGACAAGCUGAAAUUGGGUGCCACCUGAUAUGAUGCACUGAGAAGAACGCAGCGCCGCUCUUGCGAUGGUGAUGCAUAACCCGAAUCUGGUCAAGAUGAAACAAAUAGAGGGAGAGUCUGCAAAUUAGCUGGCCCGUCCCCCGACGCCCCAUUGGGCGGGCCGCCCGUCACUCGCCG
This 665-nucleotide long non-coding RNA is filed under the name Equus asinus (donkey). Its description in RNAcentral is "lncRNA (ENSEASG00005027481.1)". The record is from RNAcentral. Lineage: Eukaryota; Metazoa; Chordata; Mammalia; Perissodactyla; Equidae.